This 423-nucleotide ribosomal RNA is filed under the name uncultured bacterium. Its description in RNAcentral is "partial 16S ribosomal RNA". It matches the Rfam family "Bacterial small subunit ribosomal RNA", at positions 360 to 774 of the family's 1533-position model. The record is from RNAcentral.
AAUCUUCCGCACUGGACGAAAGUCUGACGGAGCGAUGCCGCGUGUGUGAUGAAGGUCCUCGGAUCGUAAAACUCUGUUGUUAGGGAAGAACAAGUAUCGGAGUAAUAUGCCGGUACCUUGACGGUACCUAACCAGAAAGCCACGGCUAACUACGUGCCAGCAGGCGCGGUAAUACGUAGGUGGCAAGCGUUAUCCGGAAUUAUUGGGUGUAAAGGGCGCGCAAGCGGUUUCUUAAGUCUGAUGUGAAAGCCCACGGCUCAACCGUGGAGAGUCAUUGGAAACUGGGAAGCUUGAGUGCAGAAGAGGAGAGUGGAAUUCCAUGUGUAGCGGUGAAAUGCGUAGAGAUAUGGAGGAACACCAGUGGCGAAGGCGACUCUCUGGUCUGCAACUGACGCUGAGGCGCGAAAGCGUGGGGAGCGAACA